GAAUUAACUCCAUGGAUUGGCUUGGUCAGUCAGGAUACAUAAAAGAAACAGUUUAUUGGCCGACACUUUCUUCAGCUAUUUCAGAGGUUGUCUUCUCCAAGGGUGCAAAGGUUCAAAUACUGGUCGCAAAGUGGGCUCAUUUUAUAAACAAUACUGACCAGUAUCUGAAGUCCCUUCUUUACUCCAACACCCUAUGCUCUUCUUCAAAGUACAACCACUGUUCUGGUAAAGUUGAGAUCAAAUAUUACAUUGUUCCAGGAUACAAUUCAACUGGACCUGCAGUACUU
RNAcentral lists this unclassified non-coding RNA (287 nucleotides) under Hevea brasiliensis (rubber tree). Lineage: Eukaryota; Viridiplantae; Streptophyta; Magnoliopsida; Malpighiales; Euphorbiaceae. The record is from RNAcentral.